This 374-nucleotide ribosomal RNA is filed under the name uncultured Sphingobacteriales bacterium. RNAcentral's name for it is "bacterial SSU rRNA". It matches the Rfam family "Bacterial small subunit ribosomal RNA", at positions 1010 to 1382 of the family's 1533-position model. Lineage: Bacteria; Pseudomonadati; Bacteroidota; Sphingobacteriia; Sphingobacteriales. The record is from RNAcentral.
UUACAUCUCUUCGGUAGCAUUUUACGUAGGUGCUGCAUGGUUGUCGUCAGCUCGUGCCGUGAGGUGUCGGGUUAAGUCCCAUAACGAGCGCAACCCCUACCUUUAGUUGCCAUCAGGUUAAGCUGGGGACUCUAAAGGAACUGCCUACGCAAGUAGUGAGGAAGGCGGGGAUGACGUCAAAUCAGCACGGCCCUUACGUCCAGGGCUACACACGUGCUACAAUGGCCGAUACAGAGGGCAGCUACCUGGUGACAGGAUGCAAAUCUCCAAAGUCGGUCUCAGUUCGGAUCGGAGUCUGCAACCCGACUCCGUGAAGUUGGAUUCGCUAGUAAUCGCGCAUCAGCCAUGGCGCGGUGAAUACGUUCCCGGGCCUU